CACGUAGGGUGCGAGCGUUGUCCGGAAUUAUUGGGCGUAAAGAGCUCGUAGGCGGUGUGUCGCGUCGGCCGUGAAAACCUGCAGCUUAACUGUGGGCAUGCGGUCGAUACGGGCAUCACUGGAGUUCGGCAGGGGAGACUGGAAUUCCUGGUGUAGCGGUGAAAUGCGCAGAUAUCAGGAGGAACACCGGUGGCGAAGGCGGGUCUCUGGGCCGAUACUGACGCUGAGGAGCGAAAGCGUGGGGAGCGAACAGG
RNAcentral lists this ribosomal RNA (254 nucleotides) under uncultured bacterium. RNAcentral describes it as "partial 16S ribosomal RNA". It matches the Rfam family "Bacterial small subunit ribosomal RNA", at positions 524 to 776 of the family's 1533-position model. The record is from RNAcentral.